Small nucleolar RNA from Trichechus manatus latirostris (Florida manatee), 81 nucleotides. RefSeq annotates it as small nucleolar RNA SNORD115. The record is from RefSeq and is a predicted model, not a curated record. NCBI's taxonomy places the organism in Eukaryota, Metazoa, Chordata, Mammalia, Sirenia, Trichechidae. The transcript has a single exon.
AGGUCAAUCAUGAUACCUUAACUUUUCUUGAAGAGAUAUGAUGACAUAAAAAUCGUGCUCAAUAGGACCAACAGGAAGCUC